UACUGUUCAAUCACUUAUUAAGAAGUGGAAAAUUCGGGAAUCUCUUGAUACCAAGCCAAGGUCAGGUAGACCAAGAAAGAUUUCAGCCACAACUGCCAGAAGAAUUGUUUGGGAUACAAAGAAAAAACCACAGGUCCGCCUGAAGAGGAUCUGAUAAGAGGCGACAUAAUUCUCAGGCCCCUCAGCUGAGCCAGAACCAGAAGACAGCAGCCUAUGAUGACAGCAGUGGAGGCAGCAGAACGCACAAGCCGAUCUGUGCCGAUCACACCACCAUCUGCAGAGGGCAAGAGGAAAUACAAUAGGGAUUUUCCUCUUUAGUUUACAGUUCAUGCCUCAAUGUCUGCUGAAGCCAGCGGGGCUUCCGAAUAAUCCUAUUAUUUUGGACAAGGUCAGUCAUUCUUACAGAGUAAUGCUCCAAAAUAUCAAAUAUUUUCCUUUUGAAUGGGAGAUCUAAUAGGUACCUGCCUCACUGGUCGACUGCUUUUACAGGUCAAUGAACAUCGACUACCCAUUUGUCCAGUGGAUUGGCCCAUGAUGUCCGGAGGCCAAAACCUUGUCAAGCACAUGGAUGCAAAAAAAUAAAUGUGAAGCUGGACUGUGACGUGGAGCUAAAGACAUCUGCAAAUGCUUGGAAGCCUGGUUUGAAGAGGAACAGGGCUGUUGAGGAUCCAGAGGCCCAGAAAACUGAGAUGUGCUCCACUCUGGCUUGAGCAAAAUAGAUAGACAGACAGACAACUUACAAAAUACAUAUAAUUUACAUUACAAUAAAUAGAUAUAAUUAGAAGAAUAGGCAUACACAAAAACUUGCACAACAAAUUCUACAGGUUUUACACAACAUGCACAGUAUGCACACAAAAUGACCUAUUUUACAUUAUUAUAUUGCAGUGAUUCACAGGAAGUAUCCACUGGACAUGUACAUUUAUUGAGUAAUGUGUAGCAAAUCAAUGCAUAAAAAUAAUAUGUCAAUCAAUGUUUUAUGUAAAAUCCGGAGCAUCCUCACCAAACUUGAGAGAAAUUUGACCAGCUGAUGAAGAUGCUGACUGACCUCCAUCCAUCCAUCGAAACAUAGGAGCGACUGAGGGGUGUCACAGAACUGGUGUUUGAAAAAUCCAUCAGUGAACCCAGCUUCUCUGGCACAUACGCCAAUAUGUGUCUCUCUCUGACACAUACUGAUACUCUCUGCCCCGUUGAAAGCACAAAUGACUGGUCAACCAAAGAUGAAGGUCAGUUUCAAGGCCCUGCUGGUUUGUUGUUGUUGGAAGGAGUUUUUGUAUAAUGACAAGCCCUUGGCCCUGAAACAAAAAGAAAUGGAGGCAGCUUCAUCAGCUGGUGAACAGGAAAGGCUGAAGGAAGAGAACAAUGCCCACAGACGCUCAAUGGGAAACAUCUGGUUCAUGGAUGAGCUGUUUAAACAGGGGAUGAUUACAGAGGACAAUACGCAUGAGUGCAUAAGGAAGUUGG
Long non-coding RNA from Myxocyprinus asiaticus (Chinese sucker), 1461 nucleotides. RefSeq lists it as uncharacterized. The record is from RefSeq and is a predicted model, not a curated record. Lineage: Eukaryota; Metazoa; Chordata; Actinopteri; Cypriniformes; Catostomidae. The transcript is spliced from 4 exons.